RNAcentral lists this ribosomal RNA (465 nucleotides) under uncultured bacterium. RNAcentral's name for it is "partial 16S ribosomal RNA". It matches the Rfam family "Bacterial small subunit ribosomal RNA", at positions 338 to 795 of the family's 1533-position model. The record is from RNAcentral.
CCUACGGGGGGCUGCAGUAGGGAAUCUUCCACAAUGGACGAAAGCCUGAUGGAGCAACGCCGCGUGAGUGAAGAAGGGUUUCGGCUCGUAAAGCUCUGUUGGUAGUGAAGAAAGUUAGAGGUAGUAACGGGCCUUUAUUUGACGGUAAUUACUUAGAAAGUCCCGGCUAACUACGUGCCAGCAGCCGCGGUAAUACGUAGGUGGCAAGCGUUGGCCGGAUUUUUUGGGCGUAAAGCGAGUGCAGGCGGUUCAAUAAGUCUGAUGUGAAAUCCUUCGGCUCAACCGGAGAAUUGCAUCAGAAACUGUUGAACUUGAGUGCAGAAGAGGGGGGUGGAACUCCAUGUGUAGCGGUGGAAUGCGUAGAUAUAUGGAAGAACACCAGUGGCGAAGGCGGCUCUCUGGUCUGCAACUGACGCUGAGGCUCGAAAGCAUGGGUAGCGAACAGGAUUAGAUACCCUUGUAGUC